GAAAUGCGAUAAGUAAUGUGAAUUGCAGAAUUCAGUGAAUCAUCGAAUCUUUGAACGCACAUUGCGCCCUUUGGUAUUCCGAGGGGCAUACCUGUUCGAGCGUCAUUU
Molecule: ribosomal RNA, 108 nt
Filed under: Phormopsora isabellina
Lineage: Eukaryota; Fungi; Ascomycota; Lecanoromycetes; Peltigerales; Pannariaceae
Description: Pannariaceae sp. CHP-2019a partial 5.8S ribosomal RNA
Rfam family: 5.8S ribosomal RNA
About the family: 5.8S ribosomal RNA (5.8S rRNA) is a component of the large subunit of the eukaryotic ribosome. It is transcribed by RNA polymerase I as part of the 45S precursor that also contains 18S and 28S rRNA. Functionally, it is thought that 5.8S rRNA may be involved in ribosome translocation.
Source: RNAcentral